GCCGGCGAUGGUCAGCCUGGUAGACCGCGUACGUGAAACCUACGUAUCCUUUGGGAUAUCGGGGUUCAAAUCCCCGCGCCGGCG
This 84-nucleotide transfer RNA is filed under the name Candidatus Woesearchaeota archaeon. Its description in RNAcentral is "tRNA-Phe". The record is from RNAcentral. Lineage: Archaea; Nanobdellati; Candidatus Woesearchaeota.